Molecule: long non-coding RNA, 863 nt
Filed under: Carica papaya (papaya)
Lineage: Eukaryota; Viridiplantae; Streptophyta; Magnoliopsida; Brassicales; Caricaceae
Description: long non-coding RNA (CPAP_LNC010896)
Source: RNAcentral
GAAGCCCACACGUGUGUGCGCAGCUUUGGGCUAGGCCUGCACACGCGGCCUUUAGGCCUCGUAGGUCCGCGGCUUGUGCAGUUUCCUCCUCAGAUGUUGUUGGGCUCGUACGAGCCCGCAGAUGUUGUUGGGCAAGGCUGUUGGGCUGACUUGCUAGAUCAGGUGUUCGGCCUAGUUUUUCCCCCUUUUAUUGUGGAUCCACCAGAUUGGACCUCGAGAUGUGGGUUGAUCUUCGGGCCUUCCCCAUGAGCCUCGAUUGGCUCACCUGUAUGCUGUAGGUUGGGCCUAACGGGCCAGGUGGUGGGCUGGGUCGACUUGGGUCACCAGCCCAUGGGUAUCUCCCCUCCAUGCGACGUCUCAGACAUGCCACCGUCAUCUUCUAGGAUCAAUAUGAAAACCCACAACUUGUCGUCGUUGAUGCUUCUUUGGGCCGAUUGUCUCGGUGGCCCAUAAGGCUUCCCAGUCUUGAUUGCAUCUAUAAUCUAUCUUACUCAAUCUAAGCUUGAAUGAGCCGGAUCCUUGGGCUUCAUGGAAUUGGGUCUUGUCAUUGAAUCUCGACUCUGUUUCCUUGGUCCAGGCUUCUCUUGUUCCUUGUUUCCAAAUUGGCAUUAAAUCUGAUGGUUGCCUCCCAGGUAACUGGAACACCCUCCUGGGGUCACAUCAUCCUUCUUGCUUUCUUUUUCUCUCUCUAGACUUCUCUUUCACUCUCUAAAUUUUUUUAAAGUGGAAGAAUGGAAUAAAAAAAUGAAAAAUGAAGGGAAAAUGGAGAGAAAGGCCUCUUUAAAUAGCCAUGAAGAGACCUUGGAUAUCUGCCACAUGGCACAUAUCCAAAGGGGACACGUGACAAGAGUGGGUAACUGAUC